GAUGAAGAACGUAGUGAAAUGCGAUAAGUAAUGUGAAUUGCAGAAUUCAGUGAAUCAUCGAAUCUUUGAACGCACAUUGCGCCCCUUGGUAUUCCGAGGGGCAUGCCUGUUCGAGCGUCAUUAUAACCCCUCAAGCUCAGCUUGGUGUUGGGGCCUGCUGCACUGGCAGCCCUUAAAAUCAGUGGCGGCGCCAUCUGGCUCUAAGCGUAGUAAUUCUUCUCGCUAUGGAGUCCUGGUGGAUGCUUGCCAUCAACCCCCAAUUUUUCUAUGGUUGACCUCGGAUCAGGUAGGGAUACCCGCUGAACUUAAGCAUAGCAAUAAGCGGAGGA
RNAcentral lists this unclassified non-coding RNA (329 nucleotides) under soil metagenome. Its description in RNAcentral is "partial contains 5.8S ribosomal RNA, internal transcribed spacer 2, and large subunit ribosomal RNA". The stretch from base 1 to 120 matches the Rfam family "5.8S ribosomal RNA", at positions 35 to 154 of the family's 154-position model. The record is from RNAcentral.